Long non-coding RNA from Patiria miniata (bat star), 386 nucleotides. RefSeq lists it as uncharacterized. Lineage: Eukaryota; Metazoa; Echinodermata; Asteroidea; Valvatida; Asterinidae. The transcript has 3 exons. The record is from RefSeq and is a predicted model, not a curated record.
ACCCUUGGAGCAGUCAGUUGUUGACUCCAUUGCAAUAAAGAGCGACUGUUUUGUCCGAUUUCGCCCCAAAUGUCACAGAGAUAUAUGUGCAGAGGUACGACCCUACAUUUCUAUCUACCGGCACGUAAAUGGGCCACUAAAUGGGACUCGGCUCAGACGUGAAUAUGCAAUGGGAUGUUUUGCCCAUUGCAACUAAAGCAAUGCUUCUGAACUUCUCAUAAUCCAAUGUCAAGGAUUUGACGGUACACCAAAAUAGAGCUGAUGCUUUAAGCACCAUCUUCCUGAAUUCUGGACUACAAAACAACACAUUAUGGAUCGAAAACCACGGGGCACUGAUGGUGAAGCAGGUCCUAGCAGGCCAUCACGUGCACAGGCCACAGGAGUAU